RNAcentral lists this ribosomal RNA (1074 nucleotides) under uncultured organism. RNAcentral's name for it is "bacterial SSU rRNA". It matches the Rfam family "Bacterial small subunit ribosomal RNA", at positions 247 to 1325 of the family's 1533-position model. The record is from RNAcentral.
AGUUGGUAGGGUAACGGCCUACCAAGCCGACGAUGCCUAUGGGUUCUAAAAGGAAGGCCCCACACACUGGUACUGAGACACGGACCAGACUCCUACGGGAGGCAGCAGUGAGGAAUAUUGGUCAAUGGGUGAGAGCCUGAACCAGCCAUGCCGCGUGCAGGAAGUGCCCUUAGGGUGUUAUACUGCUUUAGCAGGGGAAGAAAAAGGCGUACGCGUACGCCCUUGCCGGUACCCUGUCAACAAGCACCGGCUAACUCCGUGCCAGCAGCCGCGGUAAUACGGAGGGUGCCAGCGUUAUCCGGAUUUACUAGGUUUAAAGGGUGUGCAGGCGGACUAACAAGUCGGCUGUGAAAUUUACGGGCUCAACCCGUGACUUGCGGUCGAAACUGUUGGUCUUGAGUGAAGAUGCUGCAGGCGGAAUGUGUGGUGUAGCGGUGAAAUGCAUAGAUACCACCCAGAACCCCGAUUGCGAAGGCAGCUUGCAAAACUUCCACUGACGCUGAUGCACGAAAGCGUGGGUAGCGAACAGGAUUAGAUACCCUGGUAGUCCACGCAGUAAACGAUGACCACUGGCUUUUGGUGAUACACAAUCAGAGGCUGAGCGAAAGCAUUAAGUGGUCCACCUGGGGAUUACGUUCGCAAGAAUGAAACUCAAAGGAAUUGACGGGGGCCCGCACAAGCGGAGGAACAUGUGGUUUAAUUCGAUGAUACGCGAGGAACCUUACCUGGGCUUGAACUGUCAGUGACGCUUGGGGAAACCCAAGUUCCCUUCUGGGCGCUGUCAGAGGUGCUGCAUGGCUGUCGUCAGCUCGUGCCGUGAGGUGUCGGGUUAAGUCCCAUAACGAGCGCAACCCCUAUUGCUAGUUACCAGCACGUAAAGGUGGGGACUCUAGUGAGACUGCCACCGUCCGGUGAGAGGAAGGCGGGGAUGACGUCAAGUCAGCACGGCCCUUAUGUCCAGGGCUACACACGUGUUACAAUGGCCGGUACAACGGGCAGCCAAGGGGCGACCCUGCGCCAAUCCCCAAAGCCGGCCUUAGUUCGGAUCGCAGUCUGCAACCCGACUGCGUGAAG